GAUGAAGAACGUAGCGAAAUGCGAUAAGUAAUGUGAAUUGCAGAAUUCAGUGAAUCAUCGAAUCUUUGAACGCACCUUGCGCCCUUUGGCCAUUCCGAAGGGCAUGCCUGUUUGAGUAUCAUGAACACCUCAACUCUUUAUGGUUUUCCAUGAUGAGCUUGGACUUUGGGGGUUUUGCUGGCCUAUGGUCGGCUCCUCUAAAAUAAAUCAGCUUACCAGUGUUUGGUGGGUAUCAUGGGUGUGAUAACUAUCUACGCUUGUGGUUUUUCCGCCAGGUAACCUUCGACAGCGGAGGUUCACUGGAGCUCAUAGAUGUCUCUCCUCAGCGAGGACAGCCCUUUGAAUGUUUGAUCUCAAAUCAGGUAGGACUACCCGCUGAACUUAAGCAUAUCAAUAAGCGGAGA
Molecule: unclassified non-coding RNA, 404 nt
Filed under: soil metagenome
Description: partial contains 5.8S ribosomal RNA, internal transcribed spacer 2, and large subunit ribosomal RNA
Rfam family: 5.8S ribosomal RNA (bases 1-121)
Source: RNAcentral